CCGUCAAUUCAUUUGAGUUUCAACCUUGCGGCCGUACUCCCCAGGUGGAUUACUUAUUGCUUUUGCUUAGCCGCUGACAGUGUAUCGCCAACAGCGAGUAAUCAUCGUUUACGGCGUGGACUACCAGGGUAUCUAAUCCUGUUCGAUCCCCACGCUUUCGUGCCUCAGCGUCAGUGUCGGCUCAGUAAGCUGCCUACGCAAUUGGUGUUCUGUGUAAUAUCUAAGCAUUUCACCGCUACAUUACACAUUCCGCCUACCUUAACCAAACUCAAGGCUAUCAGUAUCAAUGGCAGUUCUGCAGUUAAGCUGCAGGAUUUCACCACUGACUUAAUAGUCCGCCUACGCACCCUUUAAACCCAAUGAAUCCGGAUAACGCUCGCAUCCUCCGUAUUACCGCGGCUGCUGGCACGGAGUUAGCCGAUGCUUAUUCCCAGGGUACCGUCAAUUGCGCAACACGUGCGCAAGUUUCUCUCCCUGGAAAAGCAGUUUACAACGCAUAGCGCCGUCUUCCUGCACGCGGGAUGGCUGGUUCAGGCUUGCGCCCAUUGACCAAUAUUCCUCACUGCUGCCUCCCGUAGGAGU
Molecule: ribosomal RNA, 582 nt
Filed under: uncultured bacterium
Lineage: Bacteria
Description: partial 16S ribosomal RNA
Source: RNAcentral